AUGAACGCUAGCGACAGGCCUAACACAUGCAAGUCGAGGGGCAGCACAAGGAGCAACCUGAGGUGGCGACCGGCGCACGGGUGAGUAACACGUAUGCAACCUGCCUGUAAGCGGGGAAUAACCCGUUGAAAGACGGACUAAUACCGCAUAAUACUAAAUUACUGCAUGGUAAUUUAUUUAAACAUUUAUGGCUUACAGAUGGGCAUGCGCAUGAUUAGCUAGUUGGAGAGGCAACGGCUCCCCAAGGCAACGAUCAUUAGGGGUUCUGAGAGGAAGGUCCCCCACACUGGUACUGAGACACGGACCAGACUCCUACGGGAGGCAGCAGUGAGGAAUAUUGGUCAAUGGACGAGAGUCUGAACCAGCCAAGUCGCGUGCAGGAAGAAUGUUCCCUAUGGAUUGUAAACUGCUUUUGCAGGGGAAUAAAGUGCAUCACGUGUGAUGUUUUGUAUGUACUCUGCGAAUAAGGAUCGGCUAACUCCGUGCCAGCCGCAGC
RNAcentral lists this ribosomal RNA (496 nucleotides) under uncultured bacterium. RNAcentral's name for it is "bacterial SSU rRNA". It matches the Rfam family "Bacterial small subunit ribosomal RNA", at positions 29 to 518 of the family's 1533-position model. The record is from RNAcentral.